GUGCUCUCUUCAGCGGCACAUACUAAAAUUGGAAUGAUACAGAGAGGAGCAGCAUGGCCCCUGUGCAAGGGUAGCAUACAAAUUUGUGAAGCAUUCCAUAUUAAA
Small nuclear RNA from Peromyscus maniculatus bairdii (prairie deer mouse), 105 nucleotides. The record is from Ensembl. NCBI's taxonomy places the organism in Eukaryota, Metazoa, Chordata, Mammalia, Rodentia, Cricetidae.